RNAcentral lists this ribosomal RNA (236 nucleotides) under uncultured bacterium. Its description in RNAcentral is "partial 16S ribosomal RNA". It matches the Rfam family "Bacterial small subunit ribosomal RNA", at positions 1141 to 1371 of the family's 1533-position model. The record is from RNAcentral.
UAGGGAGACUGCCGGUGCCAAACCGGAGGAAGGUGGGGAGGACGUCAAGUCUUCAUGGCCCUUACGGCCAGGGUUACCCACUUAUUCCAAGGGUCGGUACAGAGGGUUGCGAAGCCGGGAGUUGGAGCCAAUCCCAGAAAACCGAUUUCAGUCCGGAUUGGAGUUUGCAACUUGACUCCAUGAAGUUGGAAUCUCUAGUAAUCGCGAAUCAGGUAUGUCGCGGUGAAUACGUAGCC